This is a non-coding RNA of Peromyscus maniculatus bairdii (prairie deer mouse), 382 nucleotides long. The record is from RefSeq and is a predicted model, not a curated record. Lineage: Eukaryota; Metazoa; Chordata; Mammalia; Rodentia; Cricetidae.
AUGUCUGGUUUCAGAGCGAAGAAACUUUAAAGAAUGCCCCCACCAGCCAACUUCUCCCCAGAAAGAAAUGACACCCCCUGCCUGCUUGAACCACUCAGCGACUGGGGGACUGGAGCUGCCAUGAUUGGCUCAGAGCAAUCAAGACCGCAUCGGGUCCAUCCUACAGCGUGGUGAAGAUUUACUAAUUACUAGCAUGUGGCCAGUCUGGAGCGCAUGAAGCGACGAUUCUUCUCACUAACUUAGUGGUGUGGCUGCCGCAUAAGAAGGGGAAAACUCCAAAGAAAACUCCCAUCCAGCAAUUUACCCUGAAGCAGGACCAAGAGCAUGUGGGCCUGAGCAGAAAAAGAACCCCUCUCCUAGAAGUCUGCAAUCUUGACCAGAU